Molecule: ribosomal RNA, 639 nt
Filed under: uncultured bacterium
Lineage: Bacteria
Description: bacterial SSU rRNA
Rfam family: Bacterial small subunit ribosomal RNA
Source: RNAcentral
UACUCCUACGGGAGGCAGCAGUGGGGAAUAUUGGACAAUGGGCGCAAGCCUGAUCCAGCCAUGCCGCGUGGGUGAAGAAGGCCUUCGGGUUGUAAAGCCCUUUUGUUGGGAAAGAAAAGCAGUCGGUUAAUACCCGAUUGUUCUGACGGUACCCAAAGAAUAAGCACCGGCUAACUUCGUGCCAGCAGCCGCGGUAAUACGAAGGGUGCAAGCGUUACUCGGAAUUACUGGGCGUAAAGCGUGCGUAGGUGGUUUGUUAAGUCUGAUGUGAAAGCCCUGGGCUCAACCUGGGAAUUGCAUUGGAUACUGGCAGGCUAGAGUGCGGUAGAGGGUAGUGGAAUUCCCGGUGUAGCAGUGAAAUGCGUAGAGAUCGGGAGGAACAUCCGUGGCGAAGGCGACUACCUGGACCAGCACUGACACUGAGGCACGAAAGCGUGGGGAGCAAACAGGAUUAGAUACCCUGGUAGUCCACGCCCUAAACGAUGCGAACUGGAUGUUGGGUUCAAUUAGGAACUCAGUAUCGAAGCUAACGCGUUAAGUUCGCCGCCUGGGGAGUACGGUCGCAAGACUGAAACUCAAAGGAAUUGACGGGGGCCCGCACAAGCGGUGGAGCAUGUGGAAUCACUAGUGAAUUCGCGG